UACACGGAUAUAAUUCGGUGCAAACAUAAUAUCUCACAUACUUAAAUACAGGAUUACCCAUCGUACAGAAACCCCACUCCUACUUAUACACCCACAGACAUGGGAAGGAGAAACUGGAAAAGGAUGCUUUUUGACGGUACUGCUCACAAUAACUCAAAAGUGGAAAAUACCUGAAUGUCCAUCAGUUCCUGAAAAGAUAAACCAAAGGAGGUACAUACACGCAGUCAACUGUUGGACACCUUAAAACGGGUGGCGUUCUAACCUGAGUCACGAUAUGCAUAAACCCUGCUAACACUGUAAGUAGAAUAAGCCGGGGACAGAGAAUGUAUGUUUUAUGAUUCUACUUAUGCGAGGCACCUCCUUGUUAAAUUCAGAGGUGGAAGGUAUCGCCCUGGACUGGGGAGGUGACUCAGGUCUUCCAGAGGACCUGACUUUGAUUCUCAGUUUCCACCUGACUGUUCAUAACUUCAGUUCCAGGAGAUCCAAUGACCAGAAUAUCAGGUACACAUGUGGCUCACAGAUGAACAAGCAGGCGAAGCACCCAUACACAUAAAUACAUUAAUUUAACAAAAAUAUAAAUUAUCACAUUGAUCAUAACAUCUGAAGUGAUUGGGGAUCAUUUUAAAAUUUGACUAUUUUAUUUAUUAUUAUAUAUUGAUUAGGGUGUGUUAGCUAUAUAAUAUAAUGGAUGUCCCUAUAACAUUGUCCUUGAUGUACGUAGUGCACUUUCAUCAUAUUUGGCCCUCUCUUGUCGUCUCUUCUUCUAGUCCCUUUCCUCUUCUUGAACAUUCCUCUUUAUGCUUUCAUAUUUAUUUCUUAAACUCUAGAUACUGCAUAUGGGAGAAAAUGUGAUAUUUGUCUUUCUGAGCAUGGCUUAUUUUGCUUAACAUCAUGAUCUUUGGUUCCAACCAUUUUGCUGCAAAUGACAUAAUUUUGUUCUUUAUGGCUGCAUAAAACAUGAGAGCCGUUUUGAGUGGGUGAGAGAGUUUGUUUGGGAGGAUGAAUAAGUUCUGAGAAUGGAUGCGUGAUAGUUUUGCAACACUGUGAAUGUAUUUAAUGCCACUAAAUUUUAUACUCAAAAUGGCUAAAAUGAUAGGUUUUAUGUGUGUGUGUAUAUAUGCAUACAUGGAUUAUCAGAGUGAAGAAGCAGAAGGCAGAGCUCUCACUCAUAUAGUUCUUUAUCUUGUUUGCACUCAGUUGCUGUGGUUCUCUGGUGUCUGCCUUCUGCUGUCCUGUUCAGUGACAUUUGGAUUCAGUCUUUGAUUCCAUGGAUCCCAGGGAGCUGCUGUGCCUGAUUAUAUUGCCCCCUGAGAGGGAGGAUUUUCUUUGUCUCUUUCAGUGUGUGUCACAGAACUUCUUUGUUCUCUGGCAAGGUUGUGCUUGACUGCUUCUUGAACAAUUAGAAAGGCUUACAGAUGUGUAAAAUGAUAGAAAUCUCAAGGCUUUCGACCCAAUCCCCCUCCAUUGGGGCAACUCAGUAUUUGCCACAUGAUCUCUCUGUUUCUAGGACUUCUGUCAUCAAAUCCAUAUCUGUGUAUGGAUGUUCUCUGUCUUUCCUCAAAAUAGCUUUAGCAAUAGGCACAAAUGGGCACAUUGCCUAAAGAGUGAUGGCAAACUUCACUCCAGCCUUUUAAAUGUUCUCAUUGCAUACCCGAUAUUGCCUUUCCUUUCCCACUGCUAGGAUUACGUAUUUUGAGGUACCUUUCCAGACAAAACUACAAUUUACCAAUCUACAUGUAUAUAUAAGAUAUUCUGAGAAUUAUGUGUUUUUCUGAAAGUGUUUUUUUUGGGGGGGGGGUUUGUUUUUACUUUUAACAACUUACAAUCCAAAAUCCAAUUUCCAAUGGGCCCUGUACUCAAAAUGUAUCCCAGUUUAACUAAAAGUAAGUGUAACAAAAGAAAGUGUGGCACAAAGGAUUCUGUCCUUGGUUCCAGAUGACAGGAGAAGAGGCUUGCAGGAUGACCACGAUAGAGUGAGGUGGCUACUGGAAAUGCUGCAAAAAUCAUUUUUGGUGCUGUUGGGUUUGUUCCCAGCAGAGGGCGCUGUCACCCUAUAUGAUACUCCCUGGGUACUCUGGCAUCCACUGAUUCUUCAAUUUUAUAUUCUUGUCAACAUUUCCAAACCUCAGCUUCGGUGACCAUAACCUUGGGAAAGCAUCCAGAUCUGAGGUUUCAGCAACAGUUCAAGGUUUAUUGGGAAAUAUUCAUCUUCUCACCAUGGAGGCAGCUCUAUCUAGUUUUAACCAAAGGCCCAAGAACCCAACAAAGCUACAGUUGACAAGAAAGUUAUCAGGGCAAACGGCUUCAUUUAUGUUCCCAGGCCUGGCUUCCUUUCUCUUUAAAUGCCUGGUUUGGAAAGCAGACCCAAUUUCUACAAGUAGCAAGAAAUGUUGGGGCAUGCAAGCCGUGCUAGAAGUGUGCCCUGUGCUGGGGAAACACACUUCCCAGACUAAAUUAGCUGAGCAUGCAGGGAGAUGACAGUUGAGAAGACAAGGGAGUAAUAUAUUUUUCAUUCGACAGCAAGCUAACGGAGAUGAUUGUUGCUCACAGGAGAAGCUGGGAAAUGCUGGGCAGCUGUGAAGGCUGAAGCCUUUGGGAUUGCUGCCAAGGGGAGGUGACUUACAUGCUCCAGGCCAUAACGACUUCAUAGGCAGUGCAGAGAGUGACAGGCUGACUUAUGCUGGAGGAGUUACACUCUGUAUGCUUGAAGGCACUACUUAGCCACCACCCUCCCACUUCUGCAAUUACCCGGAACCCAGAGAGGUUUGAAAACAACUUUUCAACUUUCAGUAAUGGUACUCAGCUACCCAUGUGAACGUCUAUGAAAGCAAGCCCAUGGUUACCUGCCUUAGAUCGCUGCUGGCAGGGGUGAGUGACAGGGCUGUAAAGGUCAAGUCUUCAUAAUAGAGUGGAUGGAAUCAGACCCUAUGGCUGAGAGCUGUGAGUAAGAGAUGACAAUGACCCUUUGCUGAGACCCUGCAUUGUCUUGGGUCUUAGCAGCCCGAAGCCCUGUCAUAAUGGGACUUCUGCUUCAUCUUUUACGGUGCAGUAAACUUAAGAGAGUUUGAGGAGUUCCUUUGAAGUCACAGUCCAAGAUAGAGAGCCAGGACCGCUUGCAGCCUGUUUGGUAGCACAGACCUGAUUCUUUCUAUUACUGGGUUCCUUGGGACUUGAGAGGAUCCAAAUCUACCUAUCAGGUAGCUUAGCUGCCUUCCUAGGGAAGGUGGAUUGGCUUGGGAAGAACGAUUGUUAUAGGGAAGGUGCCAAUAAGGAGGUAGUUUGUGUCAUGACCUCCUUCCAGGGGUCAAAGAUAUCAUCUAGACCAAUUUCCUAUACUGCCUCCCUGAGGGAAAUGAUACACUGAGCCAAUAUUGUCUGAGCCCAGGCUGUAAAACUUGGCCCCAUAUAGGUCGAUCUGGGGCUUCAACAAAGAACAUUCCCUUGAAGAAUCUUAUUGUAACUUUAUUGCAGCCUGCAGGAAGGAAAGCAAGGUGGGAAAACCAAGGACUUAGUGGGGAUCCAGAGGUGAGAGUCGAAUGCUCUGGUGAUUUCAGCCAAGAUCCUUUGUUCAGAUUCUGAUGACAACGAUGAUGAUGAAGAUGACGAUGAUGAAGAGGAUGAUGAAAACGAGGAGGAUGGCUUUACAUCUGACUCAGUGAAACACAGGAUGAUGCAAGAAGGAAUUUGAUUCAUAGGAAACUAGAUUGUCUCUCAGGAUGCAUCCCGUCAAGGGGCACUGGAGAAAGCUUCCCAGUAAUGUGUUAGAGGUAAAGCCUAGUCAAUGAGAUAGCUAUCGUGAGGGAGAGAACCCAUUUGCUUCUGUGUGACCUGGAGUAGUGUGACUUCCAUGAUAGUAUCAUAGGCCGGAAGUCUGUGGUCGUGGGGGGAGGCUUACCAAGACCCUGUUGGGUAGAGCAAGAAAGUGAAAGCGUUUCCUCAGCUAGAUGCGAUUAAUGCUCCAUUGUGAUCUGGGACCAGCAGCUCCAUGAGCGAGAUUGCUUUUUUCAACCAUCUCCACUCUUGGAAUAUUCUUCACUAUCCUUCACAGCUGGCCAUGUCCUAGUCACUGUUCAAGGCUCCCUUGUCACCUCCCUUGUCAUUCUUCCUCCUUACUGUCAAAUGGUGGCAUUGAAAAAUCAUCUUUUAGCAGGUUCAAGCUGAAUUUAUUGGUUGCCAAAAAAGGCAGACUACUUCCUUGACUUUUAUGGUCAUGGUUAUGGUCAUCAAGUAUGGUCUUUAAGUAUAGUCACCUGCUAUGAUCAUUAGUCAUAGCUAACAAAUAAUUACCUGUUACGGGGAGAGGACACUUACAGCAUCUUAGAUAAACUAAGGUUAAUCCAAGAAACUUACAAAGUUGUGAAGAUAGCCCCUAAAUUCCAAUGUCUAUUAGGAUUGUCUAAACCAAGACUGGUAGACACAGGAGACUGCAGGCUCUGAGAAGCUUGGAAGGGAUCUGGAUGGAUCGUUAAUGAUCAUUGCAAAAGGUUAAAAUGUUGAACAAUUCUGUAUCUUGAAGACUCUUUAGAUGAAUCUGAGAUUCAUCUUCCUGCUCAAGGUUUUCCUGGAACCAUAGAGCAGAGUUAAUAGUGAUAGGUUCAGAGUCAGACCCUGUGGCUGAAGGCUGAGUGGAUGUAGUAGAGUUGGUUCUUAUCAACCUUAGAAAAAUGACUACUCCCUCUACCACAGAUGUUGCUGUCUGCUGCUUCUCUGAGCAUACACUUGUGUACGGCCAUUCUGAGUCUUCCUGCUUGCAGGCCCUUGUACAUGAGCAAUUUGGGGGGCCAGGGAAGAGAUUACACAUGUUCAAACAUAUAGACAUUGAGGAUACUCUGGAAUAUAUGAAUGACAACUUUUCAAAUGUGCUUGUUACAUCAGCAACUGAUUACCUUACAGACAAAUGCUCUAAAAACACAUUUAGUUCUCCUGUGCCCUUCUCUUCUCCCUCUCCAGACCCUGUCUCUUAACUUUAAAAAAAGAUUGGAGAAAAGUGCUCAAUUUGAAGAAUGGAAAAAAGAUGAAAUUAUAACUCCUUGCAUCUAGCCUCUAAUCAGAAGCACUGUUAUAUAUUCUUGAAGUAGGAAAAGGUCAAACAUGUCGUGUAAAGAAAGAAGCGAUGUAACAGGAACUGACUAUCACAGCCCAAAGACUAGCCAGAGGAUGGAGAAGGGGGAAGCCAUGCAGAAGCGAUAUUGGGAGGAACCACACAGGCAUUGAGAUUGACCAUUUCCGAAGAUACCAUUUGCACAGGGGCAUAUGGACCAUAAUUACAACAGGAUUCUCUGAAGGUGGUGGGGCUUGCACCUGGCUAAUAAGUCAUUCAAACUAGAAGCAGGAAGAUAGACUGAGAAGGAAUAA
This is a long non-coding RNA of Rattus norvegicus (Norway rat), 5355 nucleotides long. RefSeq lists it as uncharacterized. The record is from RefSeq and is a predicted model, not a curated record. Lineage: Eukaryota; Metazoa; Chordata; Mammalia; Rodentia; Muridae.